GAUGAACGCUGGCUACAGGCUUAACACAUGCAAGUCGAGGGGAAACGACGGGGAAGCUUGCUUCCCCGGGCGUCGACCGGCGCACGGGUGAGUAACGCGUAUCCAACCUGCCUCUGACUGAGGGAUAACCCGUCGAAAGUCGGCCUAAUACCUCAUGGCAUCGUCUGCGGGCAUCCAACGACGAUUAAAGAUUUCAUCGGUCAGGGAUGGGGAUGCGUCUGAUUAGCUUGUUGGCGGGGUAACGGCCCACCAAGGCGACGAUCAGUAGGGGUUCUGAGAGGAAGGUCCCCCACAUUGGAACUGAGACACGGUCCAAACUCCUACGGGAGGCAGCAGUGAGGAAUAUUGGUCAAUGGGCGAGAGCCUGAACCAGCCAAGUAGCGUGCAGGAUGACGGCCCUAUGGGUUGUAAACUGCUUUUAUGCGGGGAUAAAGUGAGGGAACGUGUCCUUUCAUUGCAAGGUACCCGCAUGAAUA
Molecule: ribosomal RNA, 476 nt
Filed under: Segatella oris
Lineage: Bacteria; Pseudomonadati; Bacteroidota; Bacteroidia; Bacteroidales; Prevotellaceae
Description: bacterial SSU rRNA
Rfam family: Bacterial small subunit ribosomal RNA
Source: RNAcentral